Molecule: long non-coding RNA, 816 nt
Organism: Marmota monax (woodchuck)
Lineage: Eukaryota; Metazoa; Chordata; Mammalia; Rodentia; Sciuridae
Exons: 3
Source: RefSeq, a predicted model, not a curated record
GUGGCUGAGUGGCCUGCCCCGGGCUCAGUGCGCUCGCUGAUUGGUUCGGCUCCACCUCGUGGCAAACCUGGCAGAAGUGAUGCAACGGCAGCGAAGGUUUCCCCAGCGCCCGCAUGCAGCAAGGGCGCCUCGGAUUGCGUCAGGCGGCGGGCAGUGGGCAUGGGCCCGGCGUGGUCACGGGCAGUGGGCUUCUCCUUGGCAACUCCUCCUGGCCCGGGCCAUGCAGGAGCCAUAGCUGGUGGUCACUUCUCAUUUCCUUAUGAUAUGUUCCUUCUCGCUUCUCAUUCCUGACACUGUGAUCAACUUUUGCUGUUAGCAAGUAUGAUUAUCUGAAAUCAGCAGAAAAAUAAAGAGGAGCAUUGAGAGAAGAGAACCAUCUGUGGAUGUAUGAAACUGACCUGGGCCUAAGAAGAUAUGUGUGGCCCAAAUAUCUGUCUCUGAGGAAAAUGGACAGCAAUCUUCAGAUAAGUAAACUUCCAAUUUGAGCUCAGUCAGAGGGACCACUGGAGACACACAGGCUGGCCAUGUCUGUUGGGGCUGUGGCUCUGCCCUGCAGAAAGUGUCAUGACAAAAGGCAGGCCCAGGACCUGAGCCAACCUGUUGCUAAAUCAAGAUUCCUGAGAUCUCAGCUGGUUACCUUCUGUGAUACUAUAAGGUGUUUUUUUUGUUUUGUUUUGUUUUGGUUUGGGGCACUAGGGAUUGAACCCAGGAAUGUUUUACCAUUGAACUACAUUCCCAGUCCUUUUAAUUUUUUUAAUGUUUUUUUUUAAGGGCCUUGUGCAUGCAAAGCAAGCAUUCUACCAACUGAGCUAUAUC